RNAcentral lists this ribosomal RNA (1905 nucleotides) under human gut metagenome. Its description in RNAcentral is "bacterial LSU rRNA". It matches the Rfam family "Bacterial large subunit ribosomal RNA", at positions 614 to 2615 of the family's 2925-position model. The record is from RNAcentral.
GAUGAUCCGGAAGAAGAUACCGAUGACAGGGAAAAAGAGCGGGAGAAGCGAAAGCGAGCUUGAAAAGGGCGUUAAGUUGCAUAUAAUGGGCCCGAAACCGGGUGACCUACCCAUGGUCAGGUUGAAGUGGAAGUAAAAUUCCAUGGAGGACCGAACCGACCUCCGUUGAAAAGGCGGCGGAUGAACUGUGGGUAGCGGAGAAAUUCCAAUCGAACCCGGAGAUAGCUGGUUCUCCCCGAAAUAGUUUUAGGACUAGCCUCAAGUUAGAUACCUGGAGGUAAAGCACUGAAUAGCCUAGCGGCCGAGAGGUUAGCGAAGCUUAUCAAACUCAGAAUGCCAGAGUAUUGAUGCUUGGGAGUCAGACAGUGUCAGAUAAAUGUCAUUGUCAAAAGGGAAACAGCCCAGAUCUACAGCUAAGGUCCCAAAGUCAGGUUAAGUGGAAAACGAUGUGAAGAUACGCAGACAACCAGGAUGUUGGCUCAGAAGCAGCCACUCAUUCAAAGAGUGCGUAAUAGCUCACUGGUCGAGCGUCUUUGCGCGGAGAAUUUAACGGGGCUAAACCUGACACCGAAGCUUAGGCAAUACAGCAAUGUAUUGGGUAGGGGAGCGUUGUAUACGCGGAGAAACAGUAGCGCAAGCGGCUGUGGAGUGUAUAGAAGUGAGAAUGCCGGAAUGAGUAGCGCGAAUGCAGUGAGAAUCUGCAUGGCCGAAAGCCUCAGGUUUCUGGAGGAAGGUUCGUCCGCUCCAGGUUAGUCGGGAGCUAAGGUGAGGCCGGAAGGCGUAGCCGAUGCACAGACGGUAGAGAUUCCGUCACCACCAAAAGAGUUAAGCACAGGGACACAUAUGAAGUCUCAGAGCCGGGUGUUGGUUCCGGUAGAGAUCGAGGGAAAUUAGUACCGAAGUCUGAGAUGGAAGAUGGCGAGAAAAGCUGUGUGUAUUUCUGAGGUGCCCGUACCGCAAACCGACACAGGUAGGUAGGAAGAAGAUUCUAAGGCCAACGGGAGAAGGGUUGUUAAGGAACUCGGCAAAUUGACCCCGUAACUUCGGGAGAAGGGGUGCUCCAGAGAUGGAGCCGCAGAGAAUCGGCCCAAGCAACUGUUUACCAAAAACACAGGUUUGUGCUAAAUCGAAAGAUGACGUAUACGAGCUGACGCCUGCCCGGUGCUGGAAGGUUAAAAGGAGAUGUGCAAGCAUUGAAUUGAAGCCCCAGUGAACGGCGGCCGUAACUAUAACGGUCCUAAGGUAGCGAAAUUCCUUGUCAGGUAAGUUCUGACCCGCAUGAAAGGCGUAAUGAUUUGGGCACUGUCUCAACAGCCCGCCCGGCGAAAUUGUAGUACCGGUGAAGAUGCCGGUUACCCGCGACAAGACGGAAAGACCCCAUGGAGCUUUACUGUAGCCUAAUAUUGGGUUUCGAUGUUGCAUGCACAGGAUAGAUGGGACUCUUGGAAACCAAGGCUUUGGCUUUGGCGGAGAGGCCGUUGGGAUACCAUCCUUGCGAUAUUGGAAUUCUAACCUGCGGCUCUGAAUCGAGUCGGGGGACAUUGUUAGGUGGGCAGUUUGACUGGGGCGGUCGCCUCCUAAAGAGUAACGGAGGCGUUCAAAGGUUCGCUCAGCUUGAACGGAAAUCAAGCAAAAGAGUGCAAACGCAGAAGCGAGCCUAACUGCGAGACUGACGGGUCGAGCAGUAACGAAAGUUGGAGUUAGUGAUCCGGUGGUAUGUGAGUGGAAAUGCCAUCGCUCAACGGAUAAAAGCUACCCUGGGGAUAACAGGCUGAUCUCCCCCAAGCGUCCACAGCGACGGGGAGGUUUGGCACCUCGAUGUCGGCUCGUCACAUCCUGGGGCUGAAUUCGGUCCCAAGGGUUCGGCUGUUCGCCGAUUAAAGUGGCACGCGAGCUGGGUUCAGA